GAUGAAGAACGCAGCGAAAUGCGAUAAAUAAUGUGAAUUGCAGAAUUCAGUGAAUCAUCGAGUCUUUGAACGCACAUUGCGCCCCCUGGUAUUCCGGGGGGCAUGCCUGUCCGAGCGUCAUUGCUGCCCUCAAGCACGGCUUGUGUGUUGGGCCCCCGUCCCCCCCUCCCGGGGGACGGGCCCGAAAGGCAGCGGCGGCACCGCGUCCGGUCCUCGAGCGUAUGGGGCUUUGUCACCCGCUCUGUAGGCCCGGCCGGCGCCUGCCGACCACCAUCAAUCUUUUUUCAGGUUGACCUCGGAUCAGGUAGGGAUACCCGCUGAACUUAAGCAUAUCAAAAGCGGAGGA
This 346-nucleotide unclassified non-coding RNA is filed under the name soil metagenome. RNAcentral's name for it is "partial contains 5.8S ribosomal RNA, internal transcribed spacer 2, and large subunit ribosomal RNA". The stretch from base 1 to 120 matches the Rfam family "5.8S ribosomal RNA", at positions 35 to 154 of the family's 154-position model. The record is from RNAcentral.